GUCAAAUUGGUAGAAUGCUUAAAAAGAAGCGAUCGAAAGAAAACACAAAGUAAAAUGGUAGAAAUAAUUUCAUCAGUAUCAGUAAUCAUGACGACUCUAACUGGAUGAAACUUAAAAUUUCUGAACACGCAUACGCUAGACACUAGGCAUUGUUCAGUUGCAGACUCGUGGGACAAAAAAAGCAAUGAUAACAAUGGGCUAAAGGGAACACAGAGUUCUAUCUAGUAAAAGGAGGGGCACCCCCCUUUCAGUCUGUAGCGAGAAGGUUGGGGAAGACUUCCUGAAGAUGGCGACCCUUCAGCUGCAUCCUGGAGGAUGAGUAAGAAGCAGAAGGGAUAGGAAGGGUGUGCCAGGGAAAGGUGCAAAGUCAUGGAAGUGUGAGAGAACAAGGAAUGCUCUGGUCCAACCUUCUUUUGUUAUGGAUGAGGAACCUGAACUUCAGAACAGCCUUCAGUUGGGAAGACGGCAUCACCAAGCCCUGAGAACACAACUAUAAAGGAACUUCUGGAUUCCAUCGAAGAAACGUUCCAAUGGAAGGGGAGAUACAGGAGAUAUGUUGACUCACAGAACAACCUACCUUUCACCUUACUUGUCUUUCUAGAAAAAGCCCAGUUCUUCAGAGCCCAAGAACUGCAACUGCUGAAGCUCGUGUGCUCCAGGCUCUGCAACAAGAGAAGCCACCGAAAUGAGAAGCCUGCAGAUCGCAACUAGAGAGUAGCCCCUGCUCACAGAAACUGGAGGAAAGCUCACAUAACAACGAAGACCCAGAG
Bos taurus (domestic cattle) is the source of this 770-nucleotide long non-coding RNA. The record is from Ensembl. NCBI's taxonomy places the organism in Eukaryota, Metazoa, Chordata, Mammalia, Artiodactyla, Bovidae.